GAAGGGACAGGGGCCCCGCGGGCAGGACAAGGCGGGCGGCUCUCCCUCUGAGGACAGCGCCCGGUACCAGGAAGACUUCUCUGCUGCUCGAGCUGAGCCCGCGAGGGCUGUAAUUAAUUGAGACAGGACAAGAUGCUUUAAAAAUUUUAUGAUCGAUUUGCAUAAUGGAUCUUUGUUUUAAAAAAAGGAAAAGAACAAAACGCAAGCUCUCAGGCAUCCUGGCGAAGCUCCCCCUGCAGACGCGACCUGCCAGAAGCCAGCAUUUCUGACCACAGAGCUUUUCCACGAAAAAUCAGGUUUAUUGCCUUUUCUCGUCUGAUUAUAUAUAUAAAACAACAACAACGCAGGCUCACUGGAUGAGGUUUGGGGAGUGCGGAAAGGGACAGCGACGCUUUAAUAUCUUGCCACGGGAAGGAUCUGGCAGUGAUGGAUGGUGUGUUUUCUGUUCUUACCUCGGAAGUGGUCCCCUGAUAGCCUCUCCUGUAGCAGCACCAGCUUCCGUGCACUUCAUAAAUUCCUCUGGCAGCCCAGCCGACGGCCCCGUGUACUUUUAUUACUGGAGGCUAAUUGCCCCGUCUCCGUCUGCCCCUGGGAUGGAGAAGGCUUCUGCGGGCGGGGGGAGGGAGGGGGGCGCUCUGGGGGAGGAAGCCUCUCGGUUCCGGCACGGCAAUGGGGAAGAGUACGGAAACCAGGCCGAGGCAUCAGAGCAGGUGUCUGACGAGCGCUCCCUGCUCGCUCAGCAAAAGGCGAAGCAGCCACACGCCUCUGUCACUUAACCUUGGGGGCAACUUGCCAAGGAGGUGGUGUCACUGAACCAUUUUCCAGAUGAGGAAGCUGAGGGAGAGGUGGCUUGCCCGAGGUCACACAGCUAGUGGGAGCCAGAGCAGAGGCUCAACCCAGGCCACCUGAGCUGCAGUGCCGCUGAAGCCAGGAAAUUGUACGUACGAAAGACGGCGCGGAAGCUGCAGCGGGCAGGUUUUUAAGAUGGCUGCCAGGGGUACACCCUUACGGGUCUCGUCCCUUCAAGUGGGCGGGACUCAGAGUAUGAUGAGACGUCACUCCGUGGAUAGGUUACAUGCGACGGCAAGGUGAGGUGACCCGGCAGAUGGGACCGAAGUCUCUACUUGGCGGCCUUUAAGUUCGUUAAAAGGGAGAUGGUUCUGGGUGGGCCUGACCUAAUCAGGUGAGCGCUUUAGCUGAAAAGCCUAGAAGUCAGAGAAGAAAAAAGUCGGAGAGAUUUGAAGCAGCAGAUACUCCUCUGUUGACCUUGAGAAAAUAAGCUGCCAUAUUGUGGAGGUGGGGGGAAUCACAUGGAAAGGAAGGGCAGGUGACCCCUAGGGGUUGAGGGUCUCAGUCCUACAACUGCAAGGAGCUGAAUUCGUACGACAACCAGAGCAUUGGGAAGAGGGACCCUGAGUCUAUGACGCGAGAGCUAUUGUGGGAGGUCAUAAAGAGCAUGUGGUCACCAGUUGACCUUCAGGCUGGUCAGCCAAUGGACACUCAUCACUCCCUCCCCCGUCCUUGGACGGUACAUUCUGCUUGCCUCCCCCAUUCCCAGAGGCUGCCCCAAAUUUACAGCCUUGAGAUAGCUUGUGUUGACAGCCUGUGGGUGUGUGGGGGCCAGAUUCAGAUGGCAUCCGAGGAGCUCCCAGCCCUGGCUGCCACCUUGAUUUCAGCCUAGUGAGACCCUGAGCAGGGGACCCAGCUAACCUGGACCUUGGCUCUCGACCUUUGGAAACUGCAAGGCUGCAGCCAAAAGACAGAAAGGGAGUCCUACACAUCAAAAGUGGAAGCGAAAACGUAGCAAUCACGUCCUUUGAACAAACACCCUAAUCAUCUUUCCGAGGCUGUGUGCCGGGUUGCCACGGGGCAUUUGUGUUAAGAAUGACACCCUCUGCUGCUUCUGUUCCGGCAAGUCACAGCUUCAAAGCCCCUCCGUGUGCUUGUCAAGACCCAGUCUCACCAGGCAGAAGAAAGGACUCUUAAGGAUUCCAGGAUGCUGUGCUCUAAGCUGGAGGCAGUCCUGCUGUCACAAAUGACAGCAUGAAUGGCCCGUCCUGACUGACGUGUGGCCCCACCGAAUCCCCCACACAGCCCGUGAGACAAGUGGGUGUUUGCCUUACUUCACGGAUGAAGGAAAUGAACCUCACGAGGUUGUGAUCUCAUGGCUUCGUGGGUUUGAGCCCCAAGUCGGGCUCUG
Molecule: long non-coding RNA, 2200 nt
Organism: Leopardus geoffroyi (Geoffroy's cat)
Lineage: Eukaryota; Metazoa; Chordata; Mammalia; Carnivora; Felidae
Exons: 5
Source: RefSeq, a predicted model, not a curated record